Molecule: ribosomal RNA, 419 nt
Filed under: bacterium
Lineage: Bacteria
Description: partial 16S ribosomal RNA
Rfam family: Bacterial small subunit ribosomal RNA
Source: RNAcentral
UGGGGGAUAUUGCACAAUGGGCGAAAGCCUGAUGCAGCGACGCCGCGUGGGGGAUGAAGGCUUUCGGGUUGUAAACCUCUUUCGCUAUCGAACAAGGCCCGCUUAGGGUGGGUUGAGGGUAGGUGGAGAAGAAGCGCCGGCUAACUACGUGCCAGCAGCCGCGGUAAUACGUAGGGCGCGAGCGUUGUCCGGAAUUAUUGGGCGUAAAGGGCUUGUAGGCGGCUUGUUGCGCCUGCUGUGAAAACGCGGGGCUUAACUUCGCGCGUGCAGUGGGUACGGGCAGGCUUGAGUGUGGUAGGGGUGACUGGAAUUCCAGGUGUAGCGGUGGAAUGCGCAGAUAUCUGGAGGAACACCGAUGGCGAAGGCAGGUCACUGGCCAUUACUGACGCUGAGGAGCGAAAGCAUGGGUAGCGAACAGG